Molecule: long non-coding RNA, 547 nt
Organism: Mizuhopecten yessoensis (Yesso scallop)
Lineage: Eukaryota; Metazoa; Mollusca; Bivalvia; Pectinida; Pectinidae
Exons: 3
Source: RefSeq, a predicted model, not a curated record
ACCGCUAUCGAUAUGAUUGUUUACUGUGUCGCUAUGAAGAGGUCCUGUUUAUCACAAUGCAUCUACAGAAAGAGCAAAAUAUCAUCUUUCGUUUUUUCUAUGUCUGCUGAUUUAUACAGUUAGGUCUACACUAGACGCUCUGACCAAUUAAUGGACGAGAAUAUGAAAAGGCGUCACAUCUGGACGAAUAUGGCUACGAUGGACAGCUUGGCUGUUUUGUUCUUGAUGUAUUCGAUGUGUUGUACAGGUUUGGUAGAUGGAUUGACCAUAACACUGAACAAGAAUGCAGUAAGGAACAGUGAUCUACAGAUACUUAUAACUACCAGCAGCAUCUCUUCAGCAGUUUUCUUAACGAAGCCUGGUGGAUCAUCAAAUAAUUGUGCAGCACCAAUUCUGAGACCAGGAUCAUGCACUACAUCAGACCUUUCUCAGGAUUUAACUACCGGUGUAACAACAUUCAACAUAUCGUCACUUGUAAGAUCAACAGAUGAAGGUACAUGGACUGCUUCACAUGGAGUCUCUGAUACCAACACCAUAGACAUCAAAG